GCUGGGCAUGGUGGCGCAUGCCUGUAAUCCCAGCUACUCGGGAGGCUGAGGCAGGAGAAUCGCUUGAACCUGGGAGAUGGAGGUUGCAGUGAGCCAAGAUCAUGCCACUGCACUCCAACCUGGGUGACAGAGCAAGACUCCGUCUUAA
This is an unclassified non-coding RNA of Macaca mulatta (Rhesus monkey), 148 nucleotides long. It matches the Rfam family "Metazoan signal recognition particle RNA". Rfam says of the family: The signal recognition particle (SRP) is a universally conserved ribonucleoprotein. It is involved in the co-translational targeting of proteins to membranes. The record is from Ensembl. Lineage: Eukaryota; Metazoa; Chordata; Mammalia; Primates; Cercopithecidae.